CCAAUGGGGAAGCCUGAGCCUGUUUUUCAGGCACAAGCACCUGGGGGUUUCACUGUCACAGAGCUGGGACAUAUUGGUGUGUGCCAGGAGCUCCUGGGCUCUCUGCUCUGGAUGUAGUCAAGAAGCCUGUGAUCAGAUGAGUGAUUUGCGCUUCAAAGACGGGAAAACUGAGAGAAUUUUGACUCAAUGGCUUCAAAUCAGAGACAGCUUGACAUUUCCCAGAUGUGGACAAGGAAGAAGACCAAAGAUGUGCUGAGGGGAUGCGCAUUCUACAGGUUGCUGUAGAAACUGAACCAAGCUUGGACUGUAAGCUUCUCGUAGGGGUGUUUACUGACAGGAGACAACCUCAAGAGCAAUCCCAGGAGCUGUGCUCCCAGGUGACAGUGCAAGGUCAGCAAUCUGAAAUUUUCACCCAAGUUUCCACAUUUGCCACAACUGAAGACGGCAGAAUCUGAGGCCCUCCACUGAAAUAUGACCAAAUGAAAUGCUUCAAAGUGACUCCUGCAGUUAUCCUUGUGGGCCUGCUCCAGCAUCCUGAUCUAAAAUGGUUAUUCCUGAAUCAGAAACCAGAUUCAUGAGCCUCCUGGUAAAGAUGCACUUCAUUCCCAGAUUGACUGCUAAGUCUUCAACACUUCUGGUUUCGUUCCUCAAGGGGAUAUGUCUACUUUUGGCAGAGAGGUAUGAUGGCAAUUUAGUAUCCAUUUGUACAGGUCAGCUCAGAUCUAUCAACAUAUGUCUAUCCAGAGAAACAGAUUUAUUUUUUUUACAAGAGCAACAACAUAUUUUAGUGAGGUCCUGGGAGAAUGUAGGCUAAACAUAUGCUUAAGUAUGCAUUCUCCCUCCAGGUUACAAGGUGCUUAAUAGAUAAAGUGCUGUGUAAGUGAUCAUGCCUCUCUUCUCCAUUUUUUGUGCAUUUUUGACUGGUCUGUAAACUGUGGGUUCAAGACAGUCCCCUUCCUGAUCUUUUGUUUGUGAUCAACACUGUUUCAAACAGAGCUUGAAUCUAGAAAACAGAAAACCAAAAUGCCCUCUGACUACCCCCAAAUAAGUAAUAACAAGGAUUUGUAUUGAAAUAAUAAAAUCUAAAUUUCAUUAUUCUGCUACCCUAAGAAUGGGGGCAAAUUGCCAGUGAUAAUGCUAUGCAUAUUUAUUUUUUUCCUUCAUAAAAUGAAGAUAGAAAAAUUCAGACUAGCUGAACUAGAUUAGAAACCUGAUCUAACUAUGAUCUUUAGAAAGUCUAGCACUCUUCCUGAUUAGACUCUCAGACUGGAUCAUCAGUCUCUGGGACUGUGAAAUACAACAUUUAUAGUAAUGUCGAUCCUUACCAUUGUGGUGACUGAAAGCAUUUUAAGUGACUCACCACAUGUGAGAAAAAAGAAAAUAAACUUUUUUUUUUUUU
Molecule: long non-coding RNA, 1399 nt
Organism: Catharus ustulatus (Swainson's thrush)
Lineage: Eukaryota; Metazoa; Chordata; Aves; Passeriformes; Turdidae
Exons: 4
Source: RefSeq, a predicted model, not a curated record